CACAAGGAUCUGUACAAGGACGUCAUGAUGGAGGACCACCAGCCCCUCACAUCACCAGGAAGAUCCAGUAAGAAGAACACCAGAGAGAUGUCCCAGUCCUCUUCUUCCACAGGAUCAUCAGAUUUUGAUUCAGGAUAAAGAUCUGAGGAGUAUUAAUUCUAGAGAGACCUGUUUGAAGGGUGAAGACCAGUAUAAAGAGGAAUUUCCUACAGAGACAUUUGUGUGGGGUGAUGACCAGUGUAAGGAGGAACCCCCUA
Long non-coding RNA from Bufo gargarizans (Asiatic toad), 257 nucleotides. RefSeq lists it as uncharacterized. The record is from RefSeq and is a predicted model, not a curated record. Lineage: Eukaryota; Metazoa; Chordata; Amphibia; Anura; Bufonidae. The transcript has 3 exons.